AAUUUCCUCCGUUACACAGUGGUUAAGAGAAACAGCAUAUCCUAAGAUCACAGAAGGAAUGGCUACUGAACUGCACAUGAAGCAAAACUGCUGUUAGCCAGGAAAGCCCUCCAAAAGCCUCCAUGCAACGCAUCAUAGUCCAAUACAAGCGGAGAAGAAUGCUCCUUAAAAAGUUACAAGGAUGAGGAACAGCCAGAACACGAGAUUUUCCUGGGAAUCAAUCCAAGAAGUGGUGGUGGAGGCUUGCUAGUUAAUCCGUUUGUUAAAAGGAGUGCUUUUUCAGCCUGCAGCAUUAUUCCCUUAUUUUAUUCAUUGGGCCUUUUCAUAUGCUGGAUUGUCCAGGUGGCCUUAACUUUCAAGGUGGUAAUUUUGCUGAAGAUAACCACUUGAUGAAGAGACAGACAGUCCCAAUCAUGGAUUAGAGAUCUGCACCGUUGAGGACACGUUACAGAAUCACAUUGGUACAAGGAUGACAUCCUUCUGCCUGAAGAGAACAUCGUAAUCCCUGUGUUUCUGUAAGUCAGAGCUAAAAGCAGAUUCAUCCAUAAUUGUGUAGCAUGAAGUGUGUGUGUGUAUACGCACACACACACAUAUACACACACACACACGUAUACCUUUUAUACACACAUGUACAUAUAUGUAUAUAAAUAUGCCUUUUUUCAGGUCAGAAUCUCUAACGUUACAUUUGAGUGGUAAAUUGAACUGUUUCUCAUGGUGGCUGUUCCCAAAUAGUAUGAUAUAAGUAUCUUUUCUUUUCCAUUCAAUCAAUUUUCCAGUUCUAUAUGCUUGAUUAAUGUGAUUUUUUUCUUCCAGUGAAAUAAAUGAUUUUC
RNAcentral lists this long non-coding RNA (830 nucleotides) under Struthio camelus australis. RNAcentral's name for it is "lncRNA (ENSSCUG00000009338.1)". The record is from RNAcentral. Lineage: Eukaryota; Metazoa; Chordata; Aves; Struthioniformes; Struthionidae.